UAAGUCAGAUGUGAAUUCCCCGAGCUUAUCUUGGGAACUGCAUCUGAAACUGGCAUGCUAGAGUCUUGUAGAGGGGGGUAGAAUUCCAGGUGUAGCGGUGAMAUGCGUAGAGAUCUGGAGGAAUACCGGUGGCGAAGGCGGCCCCCUGGACAAAGACUGACGCUCAGGUGCGAAAGCUUGGUGAGCAAACAGGAUUAGAUACCCUGGUAGUCCACGCUGUAAACGAUGUCGACUUGGAGGUUGUGCCCUUGAGGCGUGGCUUCCGGAGCUAACGCGUUAAGUCGACCGCCUGGGGAGUACGGCCGCAAGGUUAAAACUCAAAUGAAUUGACGGGGGCCCGCACAAGCGGUGGAGCAUGUGGUUUAAUUCGAUGCAACGCGAAGAACCUUACCUACUCUUGACAUCCAGAGAAUUCGCUAGAGAUAGCUUAGUGCCUUCGGGAACUCUGAGACAGGUGCUGCAUGGCUGUCGUCAGCUCGUGUUGUGAAAUGUUGGGUUAAGUCCCGCAACGAGCGCAACCCUUAUCCUUUGUUGCCAGCGAGUAAUGUCGGGAACUCAAAGGAGACUGCCGGUGAUAAACCGGAGGAAGGUGGGGAUGACGUCAAGUCAUCAUGGCCCUUACGAGUAGGGCUACACACGUGCUACAAUGGCAUAUACAAAGAGAAGCGAACUCGCGAGAGCAAGCGGACCUCAUAAAGUAUGUCGUAGUCCGGAUUGGAGUCUGCAACUCGACUCCAUGAAGUCGGAAUCGCUAGUAAUCGUAGAUCAGAAUGCUACGGUGAAUACGUUCCCGGGCCUUGUACACACCGCCCGUCACACCAUGGGAGUGGGUUGCAAAAGAAGUAGGUAGCUUAACCUUCGGGAGGG
This 867-nucleotide ribosomal RNA is filed under the name Rahnella sp. RNAcentral's name for it is "bacterial SSU rRNA". It matches the Rfam family "Bacterial small subunit ribosomal RNA", at positions 584 to 1450 of the family's 1533-position model. Lineage: Bacteria; Pseudomonadati; Pseudomonadota; Gammaproteobacteria; Enterobacterales; Yersiniaceae. The record is from RNAcentral.